GACGAACGCUGGCGGCGUGCUUAACACAUGCAAGUCGAACGGAAAGGCUCCAGCUUGCUGGAGCACUCGAGUGGCGAACGGGUGAGUAACACGUGGCUAAUCUGCCCUGCACUCUGGGCUACGCCUGGGAAACUGGGUCUCCUACUGGAUAUGACCUUUCUCCUUAUGGGGUUUGGAGGAUAGUUCUUCGGUGUAGGAUGAGCCCGCGGCCUAUCAGCUUGUUGGUGGGGUGAUGGCCUACCAAGGCGACGACGGGUAGCCGGCCUGAGAGGGUGAUCGGCCACAUGGGGACGGAGAUACGGCCCAGACUCCUACGGGAGGCAGCGGUGGGGAAUAUUGCACAAUGGGCGGAGGCCGGAUGCAGCGACGCCGCGUGAGGGAUGACGGCCUUCGGGUGGUAAACCUCUUUCAGCAGGGACGAGGCGUAAGUGACGGUACCUGCAGAAGAAGCACCGGCUAACUAUGUG
This 467-nucleotide ribosomal RNA is filed under the name uncultured bacterium. Its description in RNAcentral is "partial 16S ribosomal RNA". It matches the Rfam family "Bacterial small subunit ribosomal RNA", at positions 28 to 507 of the family's 1533-position model. The record is from RNAcentral.